RNAcentral lists this ribosomal RNA (513 nucleotides) under uncultured bacterium. RNAcentral describes it as "partial 16S ribosomal RNA". It matches the Rfam family "Bacterial small subunit ribosomal RNA", at positions 28 to 523 of the family's 1533-position model. The record is from RNAcentral.
GACGAACGCUGGCGGCGUGCCUAAUACAUGCAAGUAGAACGCUGAAGAGAGGAGCUUGCUCUUCUUGGAUGAGUUGCGAACGGGUGAGUAACGCGUAGGUAACCUGCCUUGUAGCGGGGGAUAACUAUUGGAAACGAUAGCUAAUACCGCAUAACAAUGGAUGACUCAUGUCAUUUAUUUGAAAGGGGCAAAUGCUCCACUACGAGAUGGACCUGCGUUGUAUUAGCUAGUAGGUGAGGUAACGGCUCACCUAGGCGACGAUACAUAGCCGACCUGAGAGGGUGAUCGGCCACACUGGGACUGAGACACGGCCCAGACUCCUACGGGAGGCAGCAGUAGGGAAUCUUCGGCAAUGGGGGCAACCCUGACCGAGCAACGCCGCGUGAGUGAAGAAGGUUUUCGGAUCGUAAAGCUCUGUUGUAAGUCAAGAACGAGUGUGAGAGUGGAAAGCUCACACUGUGACGGUAGCUUACCAGAAAGGGACGGCUAACUACGUGCCAGCAGCAGCCGCAG